GAUGGUGAAACUGAAGAUCUGCAUUCUUCUGUCUUUGCUGGAAGUCAAUUCCCUUUUUCACCGUGGCCCCGGCCAGGUGCCCACAAAAAGCCAUUUAACUGUGAUGUAUUUAGCCAUUUCAUUGUGGCCCUGCAAGGUGCCCAUAACUGCUCCGAAAACUACCUGUCAACAACAGGAUGGAGAAUUCCCACGAAACCAGCCCUCCAUCUAGCUGCUCAGGAGGGAGCCAACAGGGGCCUUCCUUUACACUCUCCCAGGGAGCCAGGGUAAGUUAACUCCUCUGUAAGUGUCUACUUGGGACUGUCACUGCCACCACCAACCCCAGCACUCACGCAAGGAGGCCCUUGGGUACCCAGGCUGCCCAUGACUGGUGUGUGCAUGUGCUGAACCUCAGACUCAUACCAGGAAGCCUAUGCUGCCCACACCCAAGCCACAUCCUCCACCUGAGCCUCUACCAUGAAUAAAGAUGGUGUUUUGAUCUCUCCAUCCUUUUACACUGUGCCCCUCAGGGGGUUGAGAUGCUGUUUAAACCCCAACAAUAAACACCUCAAGAGCACUGAGAACAGCAUCUACCUUGACUCCUGUAGCUCUGUGGAGGCUCAUAACCAUCCGCCUAGUCAGUUCAUCAGCAAAUGAGACCUAAGCACCUACUGUUAAACAUCACUAGACAAUGAAAGCUGAAGGCAGAGGAGGAUCUGAAUCAUGAGUCUCGUGCGAUGGUUUAACACUUCAUGGCUGGUCACACCACGAGGAGAUGGCAUGCAACUGCGCCAGCCACAGAUACCCUGACUCAAAGGACCACGUUCUGUUUCUACUCAUCAGCUGGGCAAUGGCGGGCAAGUUAGUGAGCCUCUCUGUGCCUGCACUGUGUCGUCUCUAAAGCAGAGGUUAUGACAUCGCUUACUUCCCUGGGUUAUUACGAGGAUUAAGUGUGCUAAUUGAUACAACGUACUCAAAAGAACAGCAGACACACCAGAAGCACUCAGUAACUGUCACCAACACCACUGUCACCAUCACCGCCAUACCCACCGCCUCUCCGGUAAUUAGGAUAAAAGCUACCAUUACCAAACUGCUCUGUGGCAAGAACUGCACACUGAGUGCUUUUCAGGCAAUAACGCGCUGAAGCCUCGUGAACUGAGCGUUGCCCUGCUGCUCGACCACGAAGCCCCGAGAGCCAGGCUAAGUCUAUCGGCGACGGCUCACACAAUGAGCAAACAAAAGUCAAAGUCGUGAUCUGAACUUGCAAACUCUGAGGCAGAAAUAAAUUAAUUAUAUGCAAUAAA
Molecule: long non-coding RNA, 1283 nt
Organism: Peromyscus eremicus (cactus mouse)
Lineage: Eukaryota; Metazoa; Chordata; Mammalia; Rodentia; Cricetidae
Exons: 2
Source: RefSeq, a predicted model, not a curated record